CCUACGGGAGGCAGCAGUAGGGAAUCUUUCACAAUGGGCGAAAGCCUGAUGGAGCAACGCCGCGUGCAGGAUGAAGGCCUUCGGGUUGUAAACUGCUUUUAUAAGCGAGAAAUAUGAUGGUAACUUAUGAAUAAGGAUCGACUAACUACGUGCCAGCAGCCGCGGUCAUACGUAGGAUCCGAGCAUUAUCCGGAGUGACUGGGUGUAAAGAGUUGCGUAGGUGGCAUAAUAAGUAGCUAGUGAAAUCUGGUGGCUCAACCAUUCAGACUAUUAGCUAAACUGUUAAGCUCGAGACCGUUAGGGGUAACUGGAAUUUCUGGUGUAGGAGUGAAAUCCGUAGAUAUUAGAAGGAACACCAAUAGCGUAGGCAGGUUGCUGGGACGGUUCUGACACUAAGGCACGAAAGCGUAGGGAGCAAACGGGAUUAGAUACCCCGGUAGUC
RNAcentral lists this ribosomal RNA (442 nucleotides) under uncultured bacterium. RNAcentral describes it as "partial 16S ribosomal RNA". It matches the Rfam family "Bacterial small subunit ribosomal RNA", at positions 338 to 795 of the family's 1533-position model. The record is from RNAcentral.